RNAcentral lists this ribosomal RNA (115 nucleotides) under uncultured bacterium. Its description in RNAcentral is "partial 16S ribosomal RNA". It matches the Rfam family "Bacterial small subunit ribosomal RNA", at positions 1365 to 1482 of the family's 1533-position model. The record is from RNAcentral.
AAUACGUUCCCGGGCUUGUACACACCGCCCGUCAAGUCACCUGAAUUGUCUUCACCCGAAAUCCGUGGCCUAACCGCAAGGAAGGAGCGGCCGAAGGUGAGGGGGUAAGGGGACU